GAGAAAUAUCAAAAUUGUCAUUCUUUUGUCCACGCAUGGAACAGUAAAGUGUGAUAACAAAUCACAGAUGAACAGUAAUUUGGGAUCCCCUCUUCUAAGAUAGAGGGGAUAUUGCCACCCACACCACAUAUAUACAGAAUCCAGAGUCAUCUAUAUUAAAUGCCGUCACCGAAGAAUUACCGUGAAGGAGGCCACGAGGAGAACGAGAAGGGAAAGUUAUCGGGGAAAACCUCAAGCGGCGGGACUGGGCUGGAGAUGCAGCCAAGGACAAGGACGGCAAAGGAAUUUUUCACCGGGAAAAGAGUUGUUGCAAAUUUGCCGGCAUUGCCACACGGAAAACCUAAGCUGACGAAGUUGUUGGUUAAUGUGACGAUACAAAGGAGCCUCGGUGCCGUGCAAGUAGUGAUGGCGCCGGAGGCCACCGUUGAUGAGUUGAUCGCCGCCGUGUUACGGCUACACGAGAAGGGGGGCAGGCGGCCAGUUUUUCCGUCUACCUCGCCUUCCGGCUUCGAUCUCCAUUAUUCACAGUUUAGCUUAGAAAGUAUAAAUAGGGAGGAAAAUUUAAUGGCGUUGGGAUCAAGAAACUUCUUUCUCUGCCCAAAGAAGAAGGCUGCCACCACGGUCAGUCAUGGCGCAGCGGCAGCGGCAGGGGCUUCUUCGAAGGAAGUUGCCAAGCCUUCCUAUAUUGGGUUGCAUGGGCUCAAGUUAAUGGAUAUUUUACUGUGAAGUUGAUUACAGCUUCAAUCCGAGAUGAAGUGAAAGCCGGGCAACCACCCAAAGUCCAGCACAAUCUUGGUAAACUGAUUCAUAUCUCACAUGUCAAGGCUGCAUUGGUGGAGGUGAAGGAUGUGAAAGGAGCCAAGAUUUUUCCCCUCAAUAAGAAGAUUGAUAUUAAGAACUAUGUUAUAGGAGCCCUCUCUGCAGAGGAUAGACCUCAACUGAUGUUCAACUUAGUAUUUGAAGGGGAGUUUGAGCUUUCACAUGAUUGGAAAAGUGGGAGCGUCUAUAUAUUGGCUAUAUUGCUGACGAUUUGGUUUCAUUGUCGUGUGCUUUGAAAUGUGUAACUGUGAUGUUAUUUCGACUCUGAACAUCUGGUGAAUUAGGUGAUUUUGUUUUUUGGCAAUUUUCUUCGUGUUUCUACUAACUUUGGGGAUGAGAUAUCCUUACAGCAUAUUCUGUUUUGUUAAUGUAUGUUUGGCAAAGCUUAUAAUGGCUUUCAUUAAGUCUGUCUUUCUUAUUGAAGGCAGAGUGCCCCAAGAAAAGACCAUCUGAAUCUGCAACAGAAACUUCUGUUCCUGUCAAGAAGGCAAAAUCUGCUGCCGCUGAUGAGACAGCUCCCGCCGCACCGAUCUAUCUCCAGCUCAGGAGGCGGCCACUGCUGUUGUUGCUCUUUUCCACCAGGUCGACAAAGAUGGAAUGUACCAGAUGAUACGGUCCCUACAGCAGACGUUGCCACCAUUUGGACCAGGGUCGAUACUGUUCUGGGGGCUUACUCUUGGACAGAGGUAUAUUAGCCGAGCAUACGGUGAGGUCGCCCGGAGAUUGGACAUAUGUGCUGAUGUGCUGAAUAGCUGAUCAGCCAGGUACAUCCACUACAGUUCCACUGGCUCCAAUUCCGAUACACCCCGACGAGUCUCUGAUCCAUCUUUUGAUUUAUUUAUUAUUUUUUGCUUUGUAUUUUCGUACAUUGAGGACAAUGAUUAAAUGUCCUCCCUAAUAACUUAAGUUGUAGGUGAGGUGCUUAAACAUAGGAUUAUAUAGCAAAGAUAUUGGAUUGAA
Molecule: RNA transcript, 1779 nt
Organism: Olea europaea var. sylvestris
Lineage: Eukaryota; Viridiplantae; Streptophyta; Magnoliopsida; Lamiales; Oleaceae
Exons: 5
Source: RefSeq, a predicted model, not a curated record